AACAGCCAACUUUCCUUUCCCUUCUCCUCCUCCACUCAUCCCAAAGGCAUCACAGCCCCAACUCAGUGGGAUCAAUCCUUUUUCUAGGAGCGCUGGACAAAAAUUGUCUGGGACAAUGAGUCCGAAUCAAGGGUCCAUUUCACAGGGUCCCUAAUGAAGGUUCGUAAUUGAGGAAUAAUCAUCAAAUGAGGAACUCUGGGAUGGACUUUCAGCCUCGUGACUAGUGUUCACAUGACCAAGGGAUUCCAUAGGCACACCCCUUCAGUUCCACUAGAGGAGGUCAGAGGGGCCUAUGCAUCUUUAUAUACAGUAACACCUGUGGUUACAGAAAUACACUGAGGACAUAGAGUUCUUGAUAUAAUCUGUUAAGGGUUUGGUGCCCAGUCUUCUUUGAAUGAAGACACUGAACAGCUGAGGCACAGCUCCCCGUGCUGACUCUAGGGAUUUGUGUCAUUCCCUUUGGGAACGGGGACCAGAUGGAAAUGGGUGCUGAGCAAAGGUGCUGUGACCUAUGGAAACAUUAAUUUAAGACGUCUCCUCAGCUGGCAAUGUCAGUAAAUUGUAUAACAUGUAACACUUCCAUCCCUCAUCCCACCCCCCCACAUGCAAAAUUAUUGUAAUAAUUUAAGUGGCUUUCACAAUUCAAAUGUUUAAGAUAUGGCGCCGGAGAGUAGUGAAAAUGUGGGAAAUGUUGUAAUUGUACAGGUGGUCCCUUUGGGUCACAGCCUUGAUUUAUUCCAGAGGAAGAGA
Sinocyclocheilus grahami is the source of this 750-nucleotide long non-coding RNA. RefSeq lists it as uncharacterized. The transcript is spliced from 3 exons. NCBI's taxonomy places the organism in Eukaryota, Metazoa, Chordata, Actinopteri, Cypriniformes, Cyprinidae. The record is from RefSeq and is a predicted model, not a curated record.